This 405-nucleotide unclassified non-coding RNA is filed under the name soil metagenome. RNAcentral's name for it is "partial contains 5.8S ribosomal RNA, internal transcribed spacer 2, and large subunit ribosomal RNA". The stretch from base 1 to 121 matches the Rfam family "5.8S ribosomal RNA", at positions 35 to 154 of the family's 154-position model. The record is from RNAcentral.
GAUGAAGAACGUAGCGAAAUGCGAUAAGUAACGUGAAUUGCAGAAUUCAGUGAAUCAUCGAAUCUUUGAACGCACCUUGCGCCCUUUGGACAUUCCGAAGGGCAUGCCUGUUUGAGUAUCAUGAACACCUCAACUCUCACGGCUUGUCCGUGAUGAGCUUGGACUUUGGGGGUCUUGCCGGCCUGUGGUCGGCUCCUCUCAAAUGGAUCAGCUUGCCAGUGUUUGGUGGCAUCACAGGUGUGAUAACUAUCUGCGCUUGUGGUUUUCCAUCAGAUAACCUUCAGUGAUAUGGAGGUUCGCUGGAGCUCACAAAUGUCUCUCCUUAGUGAGGACAGCUCUUUGAACGUUUGAUCUCAAAUCAGGUAGGACUACCCGCUGAACUUAAGCAUAUCAAUAAGCGGAGGA